RNAcentral lists this unclassified non-coding RNA (3007 nucleotides) under Megachile rotundata (alfalfa leafcutting bee). Its description in RNAcentral is "muscle LIM protein 1-like, transcript variant X4". Lineage: Eukaryota; Metazoa; Arthropoda; Insecta; Hymenoptera; Megachilidae. The record is from RNAcentral.
UGUGCAAACCCCUGGCUAUGACUAGGACGGUCACGACGCGUGAACAGCCAUUCGAAUCCAGUAUUAGUGCGGUGUAGAGUGCUUCUCGGUGUUUUUUCAUCGUCACGCCUGUCUCCUACCCGAGUUUCCAUUUUCACCUGUGACUUCGACCGAUAACGGUGUAAAAACAAAAUGCCUUUCAAACCAGUAGAGCACCCUAAGUGCCCCAAAUGCGGCAAAUCCGUAUACGCCGCGGAAGAACGAGUUGCCGGAGGGCUGAAAUGGCACAAGAUGUGCUUCAAGUGUGGUCUGUGCGGCAAACUCCUCGACUCGACAAACUGCUCCGAGCACGAGGGUGAGCUGUUUUGCAAAGUGUGCCACGGUCGCAAGUUCGGCCCUAAAGGAUACGGCUUCGGUGGUGGCGCUGGUUGCCUGUCCAUGGAUCAGGGCGAACACUUGAAAAGUAGCGAGGAACUUUCGAGAGGAUCAAACGCCGUUCUGGAGCCACGAGCCAUCGCGAAGGCACCGGAAGGAGAGGGUUGCCCUCGAUGCGGAGGAUACGUGUACGCGGCCGAGCAGAUGCUGGCUCGAGGAAGGCAAUGGCACAGGGAAUGUUUUAAAUGUGCCAACUGCUCCAAGAGAUUAGAUUCCGUCAACUGCUGCGAAGGUCCUGAUAAGGACAUCUACUGCAAAGUAUGCUACGGAAAGAGAUUCGGACCGAAGGGUUAUGGCUACGGCCAGGGUGGUGGCGCCCUACAAAGCGACUGCUACGCCAAUGGCGACGCCGCUCCUCGUACGACCGUGAUCGACACCGCCAUAAUCAAGGCCCCACCAGGCAAGGGUUGUCCACGCUGUGGCGGCGUUGUGUUUGCCGCCGAACAAGUGCUGGCAAAGGGUCGCGAGUGGCACAGGAAGUGCUACAAGUGUCGCGACUGCACCAAAACCCUCGACUCCAUCAUCGCCUGCGACGGUCCUGACAAAGAUGUCUACUGCAAGACCUGCUACGGAAAGAAAUGGGGACCGCACGGAUACGGAUUCGCAUGUGGAUCAGGAUUCCUGCAAACUGACGGCUUAACGGAGGAAGAAAUCUCGGCCAGCCGACCAUUCUACAAUCCCGACACGACCUCGAUCAAGGCACCCGCCGGACAAGGAUGCCCCCGUUGCGGUGGUAUGGUGUUCGCCGCUGAACAACAGCUCGCCAAAGGCACCAUGUGGCACAAGAAGUGCUUCAACUGCGCAGAAUGCCACCGACCACUGGACUCCAUGCUUGCCUGCGACGGCCCCGACAAGGAGAUCCACUGUCGGUCCUGCUAUAGUAAAUUGUUCGGACCCAAAGGUUUCGGAUUCGGCCAUAAACCGACUCUUGUUUCGACGGACUCAGAACACGCUCCUUCAUACAUCGACGCGAAGCCCCAAGUCGGCCAGAAGCGGAACGACGGGCACGGUUGCGCGCGCUGCGGAUACCCGGUGUACGCCGCCGAGCAGAUGAUCUCGAAGAACCGCGUGUGGCACAAGCGUUGCUUCAGCUGCGGCGCGUGCCAUCGUUCGUUAGACUCCACGAACCUGAACGACGGUCCGGACGGGGACAUCUACUGUCGCGGUUGUUACAACCGAAAUUUCGGGCCCAAGGGCGUAGGAUUCGGCAUGGGCGCGGGCACCCUGACGAUGGCCUAAUCGACCACCCUCGCGAACCAGUCUCAUAUAUAUAUAUACGAAUAUAAAUAUAAACGCAAAAGCUAAAUUAUAUCCGGACACGCGUGCGCGCAAACGAACGGCGGGCAAACCGUUACAUGGCCGAUCGUUCGUUCGCGCGCAUCGCCAUAAUUGUAUAUGUAUAGGCGCCUGACUUCCUCGACUAACACCGAGACCACGAAGAAAACACGCUGCUCCGUACAAUGGAUAACAUUCGUUUCUCUUUUCGCUGAACGACCAUAGCGCGCAACACCGAUCCGGAAACGCGUGCGCGCCAACGACCGAGACGCAAACCGAUCACGAUCCACGAUCGUGAAACGAGUGACAAAUUGAUUUUUGUUACUUUUCUAUGCCGACUGUCCGCGAAACGCGUGUUCGCGAUCCCCUGGACCCUGGAUCUUGUACACCUCGAUUCUGGGACUGUUCCCGCCAAAAUGUAGCGCUUUCCCGCCAAAACUUGGAAGGUUAAUCUCUGAUGCGAUGGCGCUACGCUUUGACGUGGAACUGUACCGUAUUGUUGAAGCGAGAUGAAAGAUCUUUUUAUGUCCCAGGGAUCAGGGGAACGCGAACAACGCAAAGUACAAAUGGAGAAUAAUGGGCAAUUUCUGAUAAUUCGAUCACUGUUGACUUUUCCAUCACUUUGAUUCGAUGAAGAGCACUGAGAAAUUUUAAUAGCCUGAAAUAAUUCGAUAGUCUUCGAAGUCUUGAAACAUUAUCUUGCGUUCUGAAGAUUCAAGGCUUCCGAGACGUUUCAAAAUUUGUUAACCUCGAACGAACCUCGAAGCGAUCAUCGGCUCGUCGCUGCUCGAAACGCGAUCAGGAGCAACGAUGUAACGACGACGAAUAAAACAAAAAAAUGAACGAUUAUUUUCAAUAAAUGUAUAUUUCGAAAAGGAACGAACGGAAAAAUUGUGGGCUAUGGGUUGGGGCUGGGUUGUGGACCUGUGUUUGAAAAGGGAAGCGACGAACAUCGUGUCUCGACGGCACUCGACAUUCCAUUUGUCAGAUCGAAGACGCGUCGAAGGAAAAGUCAUCGUUCGGGAAUUAAAUUGAUGCAAAUGAUGCGCCUCGCGCGCUCAGCAAUCGCCCGAAGCAUUUACUAUAUAAAAAUAGUUUCAAUAUCGACGGCGCAUACACACACACACAUAGAGAGAGAGAGAGAGAGAACGUGCGAGUUAGGUUCUAACCCUUAAACCGGAAGCUUUCGUAGCGUCGGCGCAAUAUAACGUAACAGAACAUUAAUCUUUAAGUAGCCGCGCGUACGUUGACGAUGUACAACGCGCCAUCGGCGACUGUUGUGGAAAAUAAAUAUCAUUUCUCGAUUUCUAGAACGCCA